AUGGAUGAUGCAAGGGAGGAGGAGGGGCGGGAGAAGAGGAUCACGUACUCGAGGGAGCUGCUGCUCGCCGUCGGCGGCUCGGAGGCCUGCAAGGCGCUGCCCGCCGGCCGCUUCCACCUGCUGCUGUCCAACGACCCGAGCACCGUGACACUCUGGGCGUCGGGAGCGGCGAGGGGUUGCGAUUGCUCGUCUCGCGCGGAGGCUCGGGGCGCCCGCCCGGCUGGAAGAGCAUGCGGAGCUGGCCACGGGGCUUUGCCUCGGCGAGCCCGAGAGCCGGAGUCAUUCCAGACGGGCGUAGGGAGUAAAUCCAAGCCAUGGCCAUGCACACGAUUCUUCAGUACUGCAGGCUGCCGCUUUGGUGAGGAUUGCCUCUUCACCCACGACUUCCCGGGCGGCUACCAGGCCGUGGCAAACCUGGGCAGCCUGGGCGGUGAAGCUCCUUCGCAAGACGAGAAGGAACUUUCCGAGCCUCUGUCCCAGGACAAGUCAGCGCCACCACACAUAGAGCGAGGGACCGCUGGUCGCCACGCACCUCCACUGGCGCCCAACCCCGGCACGGCAGCUCCGGCGGGUUUCGGCGCUCCGGCGACGGCCAGGAUCACCGUGGACGCGUCCCUCGCGGGCGCCGUCAUCGGGCGGGGCGGAGCGACCAUCAGGGAGAUAUCCCGGGCCAGCGGCGCCAGGCUGCGCAUCCGCGAUCACGAGCGGGACGCCGGCCUGAAGAACGUGGAGCUGGAGGGCACGCCCGACCAGAUCAGGCACGCCAGCGCCAUGGUCUGGGAGCAUCUCCCGGUGCCCGGCGGAGGGCGAUAUAACGGCCUCAAGACCAGGCUGUGCGCGCACUUCGCCAGAGGGUCCUGCACCUAUGGCGACGGCUGCCGCUUCGCCCACAGCGAGAGCGAGCUCCGCAGGCCGGCCCCUGCUGCUCGAGAGCCGUGUGGUUGGUAA
RNAcentral lists this ribosomal RNA (948 nucleotides) under Triticum aestivum (bread wheat). RNAcentral's name for it is "partial small subunit ribosomal RNA". The record is from RNAcentral. Lineage: Eukaryota; Viridiplantae; Streptophyta; Magnoliopsida; Poales; Poaceae.